Molecule: RNA transcript, 4547 nt
Organism: Sapajus apella (tufted capuchin)
Lineage: Eukaryota; Metazoa; Chordata; Mammalia; Primates; Cebidae
Gene name: periplakin pseudogene
Exons: 1
Source: RefSeq, a predicted model, not a curated record
AUGCACAGCGAGGGCGACCAGCUGCUGGCGGCCGAGCACCCCGGGAGGAACUCCAUUGAGGCACACAUGGAGGCUGUGCACGCUGACUAGAAGGAGUACCUGAACCUGCUCAUCUGUGAGGAGAGCCACCUCAAGUACAUGGAGGACUACCACCAGUUCCACGAAGACAUGAAGGACGCUCAGGAGCUGCUGCGCAAGGUGGACUCGGACCUAAACCAGAAAUACAGCCCUGACUUCAAGGACCGGUACCAGAUUGAGCUGCUAUUGAGGGAGGGAGCUGGAUGACCAGGAGAAGGUGCUGGACAAGUAUGAGGACGUGGUGCAGGGGCUGCAGAAGCGAGGCCAACAGGUGGUGCCCCUCAGGUACCGCUGGGAGACGCCGCUCAAGGCCAUCCCCGUGGAGGCACUCUGUGACUUCGAGGGGGAGCAGGGCCUGAUAUCGUGGGGCUACAGCUACACCCUGCAGAAGAACAAUGGGGAGAGCUGGGAGCUCACAGACAGCGCGGGGAACAAGCUGAUCGCUCCUGCCGUCUGCUUUGUGAUCCCCCCCACAGACCCCGAGGCCCUGGCUCUGGCUGACAGCCUAGGCAGCCAGUACCAGAGCGUGAGGCAGAAGGCAGCUGGGAGCAAACACACGCUGCAGCAUCGAUAUGAGAUGCUGAAGACCAAGAACCCUGGAGAUGCCUCUGACCUCCAGGGGCACCAGCUGCUGGCUGGCUUGGACAAGGUGGCCAGCGACCUGGACCGGCAGGAGAAGGCCAUCAUGGGGAUCCUGAGACCACCGCUGGAGCAAGGCCGGGCUGUGCAGGACAGUGCCGAGCGGGCCAAGGACCUCAAGAACAUCACCAACGAGCUGCUACAGAUCGAGCCUGAGAAGACGCGGAGUGUGGCUGAGGGCAAAGCCUUCAUCCAGGCCCUCCCGGGCAGCAGCACCACACCCCUGCUGAGGACCCGGGUGGAGGACACCAACCAGAAAUAUGAGCGCCUGGUGCAGCUGCUGGACUUGGCCGAGGAGAAGGUUGACGUGGCCAACCGCCUGGAGAAGAGCCUGCAGCAGGGCUGGGAGUUGCUGGCCACACAGGAGAACUGUCUGAAUCAGGACAACACCGUCCCUGAGAGCAGCCGUGUCCUGGACAGCAAGGGGCAGGAGCUGGCAGCCCUGGCCUCUGAGUUACAGGCCCAGAAGUCCCUCCUGGGCGAGGUGGAGCGGAAUCUGCAGGCAGCCAAGCAGUGCUCGAGCAUGCUGGCCAGCCACUUCCAGGAGCACUGCCCAGACCUGGAGCACCAGGAGGCCGAAGUUCACAAGCUGGGCCAGCAUUUCGACAACCUGUGCCAGCAGGUGGAGUGUAGGGCACAGAGCCUGCGGAGUGCCAAGGCAGCCUAUGAGGACUACCGCAGUGGCCAUGACCACAUGCUGCAGUUCUUGGCCAGCAUCCCCAGUUACGAGCCCCAGGAGCCAGACAGCCUCAGCCAGAUGGAGACCAAGCUAAAGAACCAGAAGAACCUGCUACAUGAGAUAGCAGGUAGGGAGCAGAAAGUACAGAAGAUCUAUGCCAAUUCCCAGCAGUAUCAGCAAGCUGUAAAGGACUAUGAGUUUGAAGCAGAAACACUAAGGUCCCUUCUUGACUUGGAGAAUGGAAGGAGCAGCCACAUGAACAAGAGAGCCAGGCUCCAAUCUCCCGCUGCCAAAGUGAAAGAAGAGGAAGCAGCUCUUGCUGCCAAGUUCACUGAAGUUUAUGCCAUCAACAAACAGAGGCUGCAGAAUUUAGAGUUUGCUCUGAAUCUCCUUAGACAGCAGCUGGAAGUAGAAGUGACCCAUGAGACCCUGCAGAGGAACAAGCCGGACUCCGGAGUGGAAGAGGCAUGGAAGAUCAGGAAGGAACUGGAUGAGGAGAAGGAGCGGAGGCAGCAGCUGGAGAACGAGAUCAAGAGCACCCAGGAAGAGAUCCGGACCCUGCGGAAUCAGGGGCCUCAGGAAUCGGUGGUGAGGAAGGAGCUGCUCAAGAAAGUGCCAGAUCCCGCACUGGAGGAGAGUUUCCAGCAGCUGCAGAGGACGCUGGCGGAAGAGCAGCACAAGAACCAACUACUGCAGGAGGAGCUGGAGGCACUGCAGCUGAAGCUGCGCGCCCUGGAAUAGGACACAUGGGACGGGGGACAGGAGUAUGUGGUCAAGGAGGUCCUGCGCAUCGAGCCUGACAGGGCCCAGGCAGACGAGGUCUUGCAGCUGCGGGAGGAGCUGGAGGCACUGAGGCGGCAGAAGGGUGCCCGGGAGGCAGAGGUGCUCCUCCUGCAGCAGCGUGUGGCCACCCUGGCCGAGGAGAAGAGCCGGGCACAAAACAAGGUCACCGAGAAAGAGGUGGUUAAACUGCAGAAUGACCCCCAGCUGGAGGCAGAGUACCGACAGCUGCAGGAUGACCACGAGCAGGAACGCCACCUCCGAGAGUAGCAGGAGGAGGAGCUGAGCUUCCUCCAGGACAAGCUCAAGAGGCUGGAGAAGGAGCGGGCCAUGGCCGAGGGCAAGAUCACCGUCAAGGAGGUGCUCAAGGUGGAGAAGGACGCAUCCACCGAGAGGGAGGUCAGCGAUCUCACCCGCCAAUACGAGGAUGAGGCUGCCAAGGCUCGUGCCAGCCAGAGGGAAAAGACCGAGCUGCUCCGGAAGAUAUGGGCCUUGGAGGAGGAGAAUGCCAAAGUGGUGGUGCAGGAGAAGGUGCGUGAGAUCGCGCGGCCAGACCCCAAAGCAGAGAGUGAAGUGGCCAACCUCCGCCUGGAGCUUGUGGAGCAGGAGCGAAAGUACCGGGGGGUGGAGGAGCAGCUCUGGAGCUACCAGAGCGAGCUGCAGACCCUCAGGAGGCGGGGCCCCCAGGUGGAAGUCAAAGACGUGACUAAGGAAGUCAUUAAGUACAAGACUGACCCCAAGAUGGAGAAGGAGCUUCAGGGGCUCAGAGAGGAGAUCGUGGAUAAGACCAGACUGAUCGAAAGGUGUGAUUUAGAGAUCCACCAGCUGAAGCAGGAAAUCCAGGCCCUGAAAGACACCAAACCCCAGGUCCAGAUCAAAGAGGUGGUCCAGGAGAUCCUACAAUUUCAGGAAGACCCUCAAACCAAGGAGGAGGUGGAGUCUCUGAGGGCAAAGCUCUCAGAGGAGCAGAAGAGGCAAGUGGACCUGGAGAGGGAGAGGGCUUCCCAGGAAGAGCAGAUUGCCCGGAAGGAGGAGGAGCUCUCGCAGGUGAAGGAAAGAAUGGUGCAGCAGGAAGUAGUCAGGUACCAGGAGGAGCCUGGCCUGAGGGCCGAGGUGAGCUCCUUCGCCGAGAGCAUCGACGUGGAGCUGCGGCAGAUCGACAAGCUGCGUGCGGAGCUGCGGCGGCUGCAGCGCCGGCGUACCGAGCUCGAGCGGCAGCUGGAGGAGCUGGAGGGUGAGCUGCAGGCCCGCAGGGAGGCAGAGCGCGAGGUGCAGCGGCUGCAGCAGCGGCUGGCACUGCUGGAGCAGGAAGAAGCUGAGGCCGGUGAGAAGGUGACCCACAAGCAGAAGGUAGUGCUGCAGCAGGACCCGAAGCAGGCCCGCAAGCAUGCCCUGCUCCGACUCCAGCUGGAGGAAUAACAGCACCGGCGGCAGCUCCUGGAGGGUGAGCUGGAGACCCUGCGGAGGAAGGUGGCCGCCCUGGAGAAGGCGGAGGUCAAGGAGAAGGUGGUGUUUUCUAAGAGUGUCCAGGCGGAGAAGGGCGACACCAAGCAAGAGAUCCAGAGGCUCAAGAGCAGCCUGGAGGAGGAGAGCCGCAGCAAGCGCGAGCUGGACGCGGAGGUGAGCCGGCUGGAAGCCCGGCUUUCGGAGCUGGAAUUCCAUAACUCCAAGCCGUCCAAGGAACUAGACUUUCUAAGGGAAAAGAACCACAAAUUACAACUGGAGCGGCAAAACCUGCAGCUGGAGACCCGAAGGCUCCAAUCGGAAAUUGAAAUGGCAGCGACGGAAACACGAGACCUGCGGAACAUGGCCGUGGCAGACUCUGGGACUAACCACGACUCUAGACUGUGGUCCCUGGAGAGGGAACUGGACGACCUCAAGAGGCUCUCCAAGGACAAAGACCUCGAGAUCGACGAGCUGCAGAGGCGCCUGGGCUCCGUGGCUGUCAACCGGGAGCAGCGGGAGAACCACCUGCGGCGCUCCGCCGUGGUCAUCCACCCCGACACGGGCCACGAGCUGUCUCCGGAGGAAGCCCACCGCGCCGGGCUCAUUGACUGGAGCAUGCUUGUGAAACUCAAAAGCCAGGAGUGUGACUGGGAGGAGAUCUCAGUGAAGGGGCCCAACGGGGAGUCCUCAGUGAUACACGACAGGAAGUCUGGCAAGUUCUCCAUCGAAGAGGCCCUGCAGAGUGGCAGGUUGACCCCUGCUCAGUACGACGGUUAUGUCAACAAGGAUAUGUCCAUCCAGGAGCUGGCGGUCUUGGUGUCUGGGCAGAAGUAGGCACAGCCCUUGCAACUCUUCUUAGCGGCAGAUGCUGGCCCUCUCUUACGACACAGUGACCCCCUUGUGUCGUCCUCUCCCUGGCCCUGUG